RNAcentral lists this ribosomal RNA (292 nucleotides) under Proteus sp. HMSC10D02. Its description in RNAcentral is "partial 23S ribosomal RNA". It matches the Rfam family "Bacterial large subunit ribosomal RNA", at positions 2155 to 2446 of the family's 2925-position model. Lineage: Bacteria; Pseudomonadati; Pseudomonadota; Gammaproteobacteria; Enterobacterales; Morganellaceae. The record is from RNAcentral.
CUUUGAAGUGUGGACGCCAGUCUGCAUGGAGCCAACCUUGAAAUACCACCCUUUAACGUUUGAUGUUCUAACCUAGGCCCAUAAACUGGGUCGGGGACCGUGUCUGGUGGGUAGUUUGACUGGGGCGGUCUCCUCCUAAAGAGUAACGGAGGAGCACGAAGGUUGGCUAAGCAUGGUCGGACAUCAUGCGGUUAGUGCAAAGGCAUAAGCCAGCUUGACUGCGAGAGUGACGGCUCGAGCAGGUACGAAAGUAGGUCUUAGUGAUCCGGUGGUUCUGAAUGGAAGGGCCAUC